GCUUUCAAGGCUUCCUUGUGUGUGGUAUUUUCUGUGUGUGAUAAUAGAUUUCAUUCCCAUAAUUCUUCAGUGAUGGAAAAAAGCAGAAUGAAGUGAAACGUAUUUUAAAAUAUUUCUGAUGAUAUCAAGAAGAAGAAAUUCAUCUAGCGAGGGAGCUGGGCUUUCAAGAGCUCCCCAGAGGGAGAGCAAACCUAUUUUGCUUUAAAAGCACCGGUACAUCCUUGUUGGCGGGCACCACAUGCAACUCAAUGGCUAAGAGUCAAGGGGGAAGUUGUGGACAUCAGAAGUCUGCCUGAGUCUUUUUGGGCGAAUAGAGGUGUCAUGAGAGCUACAUUCCUUCUGGAGGCUCCAGGUUUCUCCAAGAACGGAUUCAGGCCAUCUCUCGAGAUCAGGUCAAGACCAUUCUUCUUCUCCAGAGCCUCACCUCAAGCUCAGAAAAAGGAGACUGUGGGCCCUAGGACGGUUCUCCAUUCCAGACCCAAAACCGUCGCCCCUAUCCAGCAGGAAGUAGCCAGAGAGAUAUGGCGCCCUUUUCCCCAUUUUUUUUUAUGAUUUCAGGGUCUGAAAUGAAGGAGUCUUUUGUGACUAGAAAAGAGAGCAACAGUCUCAAAGGCCCCUUGCUGAAUCAUCUAACUUCGGAGAA
This is a non-coding RNA of Odocoileus virginianus texanus, 643 nucleotides long. The record is from RefSeq and is a predicted model, not a curated record. Lineage: Eukaryota; Metazoa; Chordata; Mammalia; Artiodactyla; Cervidae.